GCUGAUCUCACUCGGGGCUCAGGGCUGAUCUCACUCGGGGCUGAUCUCACUCGGGGCUCAGGGCUCAGGGCUGAUCUCACUCGGGGCUGAUCUCACUCGGGGCUCAGGGCUGAUCUCGCUCAGGCCUGUUCUCACUCGGGGCUCAGGGCUGAUCUCGCUCAGGCCUGUUCUCACUCGGGGCUCAGGGCUGAUCUCACUCGGGGCUCAGGGCUGAUCCCACUCAGGGCUCACAUUUAGGUUCCUGUCCUGGGCAUUAAUGGGACCAGCGUGCCUCUGAGUGGGCUGGGAGGGGACAGGCUGAUGGCUCCACACAGGAGUCACAGGGUGUCUGUGCCAGCUGUCUUUGGUUUGCCGAGAAAUCCUAAAGGGAGGGAGCAGAUCUCCCCCUCUGGAUACUGACUGGAAUAAAGAUCCAGCUGUCCCUGCAGGCAGCUCGGGAGCUGGCAGAGCGGAGGAUGGGGGUGAUGAGUGUUCCUGGCUGGUGAGGGGGCUCCUGUGGCUGGAGCAGCACUGUGCUGUCCCCUCGCUGUCCUCACUGCUGCAGAGGGGUCAUUUCUGUGUCCCCGAGCUGGGCUGGGGCACUGCCUGGGAACGGGGGUCACUUUGGGCUGGGCUGGCGGUCACUGCUGCUCCUGGAGGGUUCCGAGUGCCCUGUGGGAGAGCUCAGGCCCUGCCGUGCCCCGGUUUGUGCAGGGAGGGAGCCGAGGUGCCUGUCACACUGCUCCAUCCCGGCAUGGCUCUGGGAUAACCGGAGAAACCCUGGGGGUAACUCUGGCAGUGGGGGUGAUGGUGGAGCCCAGGUCAGCCCCUGGGACUGAUGUGCACCCCUGAGCCCCCAGGCAGAGCCCCAGGGCCUGUCCUGGCCAAGGGCAGAGAGCUGGGGCGGGUGGCACUGCCCUCCCCAUCCCACACCUCGCAUUUCCAUCCUGCCGCUGACGGGAGCGCUCCCUCUGCCCUGAAAUGGGAAUGACUGAGAACUCAGCUCAUGAGAGGUGGCAAAUGUGCUGAUCUCCGCGUUUUUUAACAUGAGAAUUUUCUAAUAAGCAGGAGCCUUGGAGCCCUUCAUGAAUUAGGCAUCAGGAGCCCGAGCAAGCAGCGCUGAAGGUGCCCCGGCAAGGCCUUGCUCACACAGAGCUCCGAGAGCAGGAUUUGCUGACAAUCCCUUCCCCAGCAGCCGAGACCUCGGUGCCACUGCCUCGCCCUGCCUGUUUCCAGGUAGAUUAUGGACUUUCCUGGCUGCAGAGCAAAUCCCUGCCCGGCCCUGGGGCUCAGGGCAGGAGCAAAAAGAGGAGCCAGCCCGGCCCGGCCCGGCCCAGCGUGGGGUCCCUGUCCCACCACAUCCCCCUCGCUCCUGGCCAAACCCAGAGCCAGCUCUUCCCCGCCCUGCCAGUGCUGAUUCCUCUGCUCUCAGUGCUACUAAGGCAGAAUGGAGAAGUUUUAAUUCCUGGGUUUUAAAUUCCCUUUUUUUGCCAACAUUUCCCCGUUUCCCGGGAUCCUGUGUUGGAGCUGCAGCAGGAGAGGCUGUGGGUAGGUGGGUAGGUGGAUAGGUGGCUCAUUCCCACAGCCAGACCCCUCACUCUGCCCCAGCCCCAGGGAUUUGGGCGGGUGGGGGCACAUGGGAGAGGCUGUGGCAGUCUUUGGUGGCACCACAGCCCUGCCAGCCCCACAGCAAACUCUGCACUGCCAGGGCUGGGGCGCCAGGCUCAGCUUCAUCGUCUCCCCACUCCUCCUCACACAUGGCAGUUCAUGCAAGGAUUUUUAAAACUACUGAAGAUUCUUUUAAAAGAAAUGCUUCCUCACCUUCCCCCUUUUUUUUUCCUCCAAAGAAGCACCCCCUCCAUGGCAGCUGUGAAAUAUGGAUUAUUUACCUCCAGACUGGGCACGAGGCUGAUCCAGCCUUAGAAGUAAAUGCAUAUUUAGUCUUUAAGGCAUAUUUAUCUAUGUAAAUACAUAUUUUGGUAUACACAUUCUUCAUAACACAGUUCUGUGGGCCCUGUGGAGGUUUUGGUAGCAGAACAUUUGCCAUUGUCUAUUUUGAACACUUGCUCAGAAAAAUGUGCAAAAAAAGCAGCUGUCACUGGGAUGGGUUUAACACUCCUGGAUCUUAAAAACAGCAUCGACUCUAAAAAAAACCUAUUGAAAAGUUUAAAAAAAGCUGUCUGGCUCUGAAGGAUCCUGCCAAGAUACAAACCCCAGAGAAGCUGCAUUUGUUCCCGAACUGUGAGACAUGCCUCAGCUGAGUGUCAGCUCAGUCCCAGGGCCAGCAGCCGUGUGACAGCAGUGUCACCGCUCCCUCCCUCCAGGUGGGGACAGCCCUGAGUCCCCGCACCAGGAGCCCUCCCAGCCUGGGGGCUCCAACUUCCUGCUGGAAAUGCUCAGCUAAGCCUUUUCUCGCCGUGUUGGGAAUCCACAGUGUCAGCCUGGCGUGGCAGACGCAGGAGGGAAGCACAGAACAAACCUCCCAGCACUGCCCGAGGUGCCCCACAAAUGAGGGGCUGGAAGCAGCCCCAGCCCCCUCCCGUCCUGCAGUCCCUGGCAGUGGCUGUGCCCACCCUGCUGCCUGCUCUCACAGCCCCCAGCCUGGCCCAGCCCAGCCAGGUGUGUCCCCCUGACCCCUCACUGCAGCUCCAGCCCUGCCCAAGCCCUGCAGAGCCCCCCAGCUCCCUGCCCCUCGCAGCCCCAGCACUCUCCUGCCUCACACAAUCCCCCCUGGCACCCAGGCACUGCUCCCAGCUCUGCUGCUGCUGUGGGUUUGGGGUUUUCCUUUGGGGCUGGGCCAGCAGGGUGUCCCCCAAGUGAAGAUCAGAUGUGGGGCAGGACCUCUCGUCCGUGGCACCCAGUGGCUCUCCCUGGUGCCAAUGCAAACAUUCAACACUUCACUCUGCUUUUCAUGUUUAAUCGGGCUGCUGCUCGUUCUGUGCUGUUGCUGGACACUCAGGUUCCAAAUGUCAGGAAUCGCUGGAAUGCAGGGUUGGAUCCAGCCACAGCAUAGAACCUCUCCCAGUUUUACACACGUGGGUUGGGUUAUCCAUUGCCUCGUUUUUCCCUCUGUGAAACUGCACUGACACAAGACUUCCUGCAGCACCACUGUUUCUAGUGAAUGGAUUCUAAAAUAGAGCACUUUAAAGCUGCAAUACAAGAGAGAUUGGGAUAGCAGGGCUGAUAAACUCAUCUGAGGUGAGUUUGUACCCUUUCCUUGCAGAAUGGGUUUGUUCAUGUUAUUCCAGGUUUUAAAAAAUGCCACAUUUCUGAAAACAGCAACUGCUUGGCACAGGGCUGUAAAUAAUAAGAGAAAUAACAGAGUCUGUCCCUGACCACAUGCAGAGUGACCCAGGACGUUUUAUUGCCAUUUCUGGAGCAAACAGCUCUG
Long non-coding RNA from Serinus canaria (Common canary), 3370 nucleotides. RefSeq lists it as uncharacterized. The record is from RefSeq and is a predicted model, not a curated record. The transcript has 2 exons. Lineage: Eukaryota; Metazoa; Chordata; Aves; Passeriformes; Fringillidae.